ACACGGGUAGCUCAGUGGUAGAGUGCAUGCUUUGUGUGUAUGAUGUUCUGGGUUCAAAUCCCGGUUGCUGUU
Molecule: transfer RNA, 72 nt
Filed under: Dallia pectoralis (Alaska blackfish)
Lineage: Eukaryota; Metazoa; Chordata; Actinopteri; Esociformes; Umbridae
Description: tRNA-OTHER
Rfam family: tRNA
About the family: Transfer RNA (tRNA) molecules are approximately 80 nucleotides in length.
Source: RNAcentral